RNAcentral lists this long non-coding RNA (457 nucleotides) under Homo sapiens (human). RNAcentral describes it as "HSALNT0146138". Lineage: Eukaryota; Metazoa; Chordata; Mammalia; Primates; Hominidae. The record is from RNAcentral.
CUAAGAAGACAGCACAUCAGCCUGGACAACAUAGUGAGAACCUAGCUCUACAAAAAAUAAAAUAUAUUAGAUGGGUGUGAUGGCACCUGCCUCUGGUUCUAGUUACUUGGAAGGCUGAAGCGGGAGGAUUGCUUGAGCCUAGGAGUUUGAGGCUGCAGUGAGCCAUGACUGUGCUACUGCACUCCAGUCUGGACAACAGAGUGAGAACCAGUCUCAAAAAAAAGGAAAAGAAAAAGAAAAAGAUAUCACUGUUGUUGUAUUGUUGUGUAUCCCUAAAGCAGAGUGAUCAUGAAGGAUGAGAGAGAAGGAAAGGAGACAGCGAAAGGAAGUGUUGCAACCAGACAUAAAUGUCUUGGCUUUGCCCUUUCUGGGUUUAGACUACAAGACAGAGGGAGAUGUGUUAUUACAUCAGUGAUGAUACUCCUCAAGGUAAAGAAGAGGCAUUGUUCCCACUACC